This 226-nucleotide long non-coding RNA is filed under the name Elaeis guineensis (African oil palm). RNAcentral's name for it is "long non-coding RNA (EGUI_LNC070831)". Lineage: Eukaryota; Viridiplantae; Streptophyta; Magnoliopsida; Arecales; Arecaceae. The record is from RNAcentral.
GUGGGAGCUCGAUCAGGAUCUGGGAGGUGGUCGAUCGCCGUAGAAACUUGGGUGGAGUCUGGUUACUGUGGAAACCUCAUUGUCGGGGAAGCUCGGAUGCUGACGAAGCCCGGAAGAAGUUCAAAGCAGGGUCGUCCGUGGCCGGAAGAAGUCCGAGAGAGACCCGGGGAAUGGUUGGCUACUGUAGGAGGUCGACUGUCAGCGAGGCCCAGGGAGCUUUUAGGGC